Molecule: ribosomal RNA, 512 nt
Filed under: Salmonella enterica subsp. enterica serovar Infantis
Lineage: Bacteria; Pseudomonadati; Pseudomonadota; Gammaproteobacteria; Enterobacterales; Enterobacteriaceae
Also listed under: 2 other names
Description: partial 23S ribosomal RNA
Rfam family: Bacterial large subunit ribosomal RNA
Source: RNAcentral
AGACCCGAAACCCGGUGAUCUAGCCAUGGGCAGGUUGAAGGUUGGGUAACACUAACUGGAGGACCGAACCGACUAAUGUUGAAAAAUUAGCGGAUGACCUGUGGCUGGGGGUGAAAGGCCAAUCAAACCGGGAGAUAGCUGGUUCUCCCCGAAAGCUAUUUAGGUAGCGCCUCGUGAAUUCAUCUCCGGGGGUAGAGCACUGUUUCGGCUAGGGGGCCAUCCCGGCUUACCAACCCGAUGCAAACUGCGAAUACCGGAGAAUGUUAUCACGGGAGACACACGGCGGGUGCUAACGUCCGUCGUGAAGAGGGAAACAACCCAGACCGCCAGCUAAGGUCCCAAAGUCAUGGUUAAGUGGGAAACGAUGUGGGAAGGCCCAGACAGCCAGGAUGUUGGCUUAGAAGCAGCCAUCAUUUAAAGAAAGCGUAAUAGCUCACUGGUCGAGUCGGCCUGCGCGGAAGAUGUAACGGGGCUAAACCAUGCACCGAAGCUGCGGCAGCGAACGUAUCACU